UCGAGAAUCUUCGUCAAUGGGCGAAAGCCUGAACGAGCGACGCCGCGUGCGGGAUGAAGGCCUUUGGGUUGUAAACCGCUGUCGAGGGGGAUGAAGGCUUGAAAGUCAUCUUUCAAGUUUGACAGAGCCCUGGAGGAAGCACGGGCUAAGUUCGUGCCAGCAGCCGCGGUAAUACGAACUGUGCGAACGUUAUUCGGAAUCACUGGGCUUACAGGGUGCGUAGGCGGCUUUUCAAGUCAGGUGUGAAAGCCCCCGGCUCAACCGGGGAAUUGCGCUUGAAACUGGAGAGCUCGAGUCAGCUAGAGGUGCACGGAACUUCCAGUGGAGCGGUGAAAUGUGUUGAUAUUGGAAGGAACACCAGAGGCGUAAGCGGUGCACUGGGGGCUGGUCUGACGCUGAGGCACGAAGCCAGGGGAGCGGAACGGGAUUAGGAUACCCCCGGUAGUCCUGGCCGUAAACGAUGAGUGCUGGGACGGGAGGAGGUUCGCCUUCGUCCGGUCGGAGACGG
RNAcentral lists this ribosomal RNA (508 nucleotides) under uncultured Planctomycetota bacterium. RNAcentral describes it as "bacterial SSU rRNA". It matches the Rfam family "Bacterial small subunit ribosomal RNA", at positions 355 to 859 of the family's 1533-position model. Lineage: Bacteria; Pseudomonadati; Planctomycetota. The record is from RNAcentral.